Molecule: ribosomal RNA, 440 nt
Filed under: uncultured bacterium
Lineage: Bacteria
Description: partial 16S ribosomal RNA
Rfam family: Bacterial small subunit ribosomal RNA
Source: RNAcentral
CCUACGGGUGGCAGCAGUGAGGAAUAUUGCUCAAUGGACGAGACUCUGAACCAGCCACGCCGCGUGAGUGAUGACUGCUCUCUGUGUUGUAACCUCCAUUAGUAGGGAAGUAAAUCACGGUACCUGAUUAUGUUUCCCCGGCUAACUACGGUCCAGCAGCCGCGGUAAUACGUAGGCGGCAAGCGUUAUCCGGAUUUACUGGGUGUAAAGGGAGCGUAUACGGCAGCGCAAGUCUGAAGUGAAAUGCCGCGGCUUAACCCCGGAACUGCUAUGGAAACUGUGCAGCUAGAGUACAGGAGAGGUAAGUGGAAUUCGUAGUGUAGCGGUGAAAUGCUUAGAUAUUACGAGGAACCCCAGUGGCGAAGGCGGCUUACUAAACUGUAACUGACAUUGAGGCUCGAAAGCGUGGGGAGCAAACAGGAUUAGAUACCCUAGUAGUC